This 247-nucleotide ribosomal RNA is filed under the name uncultured bacterium. Its description in RNAcentral is "partial 16S ribosomal RNA". It matches the Rfam family "Bacterial small subunit ribosomal RNA", at positions 86 to 334 of the family's 1533-position model. The record is from RNAcentral.
AGAUGGCGACCGGCGCACGGGUGAGUAACACGUAUCCAACCUGCCGGUAACUCGGGGAUAGCCUUUCGAAAGAAAGAUUAAUACCCGAUGGUAUAAUCAGACCGCAUGGUUUGAUUAUUAAAGAAUUUCGGUUAUCGAUGGGGAUGCGUUCCAUUAGGCAGUUGGUGAGGUAACGGCUCACCAAACCUUCGAUGGAUAGGGGUUCUGAGAGGAAGGUCCCCCACAUUGGAACUGAGACACGGUCCAG